RNAcentral lists this ribosomal RNA (497 nucleotides) under uncultured Desulfobulbus sp. RNAcentral describes it as "bacterial SSU rRNA". It matches the Rfam family "Bacterial small subunit ribosomal RNA", at positions 888 to 1382 of the family's 1533-position model. The record is from RNAcentral. Lineage: Bacteria; Pseudomonadati; Thermodesulfobacteriota; Desulfobulbia; Desulfobulbales; Desulfobulbaceae.
CCCGCUCAGAAACUUAAAGGAAUUGACGGGGCCCGCACAAGCGGUGGAGUAUGUGGUUUAAUUCGAUGCAACGCGAAGAACCUUACCUGGUCUUGACAUCCCGGAGACCCUUAGGAACUAGGGGUGCUUCCAUCUGGAAGAAUCUGGAGACAGGUGCUGCAUGGCUGUCGUCAGCUCGUGUCGUGAGAUGUUGGGUUAAGUCCCGCAACGAGCGCAACCCUUGCCUUUAGUUGCCAGCAGUUCGGCUGGGCACUCUAAAGGGACUGCCGGUGUUAAACCGGAGGAAGGUGGGGAUGACGUCAAGUCCUCAUGGCCUUUAUGACCAGGGCUACACACGUACUACAAUGGCCGAUACAAAGGGCAGCGACACUGCGAGGUGAAGCCAAUCCCGUAAAAUCGGUCUCAGUCCGGAUUGGAGUCUGCAACUCGACUCCAUGAAGUUGGAAUCGCUAGUAAUCGUGGAUCAGCAUGCCACGGUGAAUACGUUCCCGGGCCUU